AGUGAACGCUGGCGGUAGGCCUAACACAUGCAAGUCGAACGGCAGCACAGUAAGAGCUUGCCCUUACUGUUGGCGACUGGCGGACGGGUGAGACAUACAUCGCCAUCUACUUUUUCGUGGGUGAUAACGUAGGGCCGCUUCCGCUACUACCUAAUAUUUUCUACGGCUUAGAUCAGGGGUUCUUCGCACUUUUCGUGUCUCUUUUAGCCGAUGUCGCAUUAGCUAGUUGGCGAGGUAAGGUCCCACCAAGGCAACGAUCCGUAGCUGGUCUGAGAGGAUGAUCAGCCACACUGGAACUGAGACACGGUCCAGACUCCUACGGGAGGCAGCAGUAGGGAAUAUUCGACAAUGGGCGAAAGCCUGACCGAGCCACGCCGCGUGAGUGAAGAAGGCCUUCGGAUUGUAAAACUCUGUUAUUGGGAAAGAAAAGAAGCAGGUGAAAACGCGGACGUUCUGACGGUACCUAAAGAAUAAGCCACGGCUAACUUCGUG
This 492-nucleotide ribosomal RNA is filed under the name uncultured bacterium. RNAcentral describes it as "partial 16S ribosomal RNA". It matches the Rfam family "Bacterial small subunit ribosomal RNA", at positions 29 to 507 of the family's 1533-position model. The record is from RNAcentral.